Molecule: transfer RNA, 73 nt
Filed under: Harpegnathos saltator (Jerdon's jumping ant)
Lineage: Eukaryota; Metazoa; Arthropoda; Insecta; Hymenoptera; Formicidae
Rfam family: tRNA
About the family: Transfer RNA (tRNA) molecules are approximately 80 nucleotides in length. Their secondary structure includes four short double-helical elements and three loops (D, anti-codon, and T loops).
Source: Rfam by way of RNAcentral
CGUCAGGUAGCUCAGUGGUUUAGAGCAGUCGCCCGGCAAGCGAAGGAGCCGGGUUCGAUUCCCGGUCUAGCGA